This 10449-nucleotide long non-coding RNA is filed under the name Eucalyptus grandis. RNAcentral's name for it is "long non-coding RNA (EGRA_LNC003901)". Lineage: Eukaryota; Viridiplantae; Streptophyta; Magnoliopsida; Myrtales; Myrtaceae. The record is from RNAcentral.
GUGGUGCUUCUCCUCCUUCUUGUAAUCGACCUCAGGCUCCGUGAUGGUGGUCACUUCGGUGGUCUCAGCAUAAGCACCAUCAGGGCCACUGCCGUAGGCAGCGCCACUGCCGUAAGCGCUAUCAGGGCCACUGCCGGGGCCACUGCCAUAGGUGGUUUCACUGCCAGGGCCACUGCCGUAGGUGGUUUUACUGCCAGGGCCACUGCCGUAGGUGGUCUCACUGCCGUAGGCGGUCUCGGAGUAGUUGACAGCCUCAACGGGUUGCUCAUCCUCCUUCUUGUGGUGGAAGAGGUGGUGGCGGUGUCCUUCGGCCAUGGUUGGCGGUUGUUCUUUGUGGGAUGCUAGAAUUGACGAUGGAUUAGGGAAAGGACUCUUGAUAGCUGAAGUGUAUGGUGAAUGCUGUGAGAUUGUUUGAGAGGGAGGGAUGUAUUUAUAGGGAGAGUUGGCACAUGCAAAGCCUCACAUCCAAUCGGGCCAACGUGGGAGGCUUUAAAUGCGUGAUGGACGGUCAGGAUAGGUUGGUGUGGUUCGAUUCGAUGCAUCUUUAUCUUCUUUUGAUAAAGCCGUUGUUUGAAUGUCAAGCUAGAAAAAAGAAAUAGGGGAUAAGCUUUUAUUUUUUUUGGUGUUGGAGUUGAAAGAAAAUUUUGAAUAGAUGAAUAUUUAUUUGGCAAAUAAUUUUUAUGAGUUGGAACGGAAAAAGUGAAAAUCUUAAGGACCUUCCAAUUUGGUUAAAUAUUUAAUGUAAUGUGUUGAGAAUAUGUUUUGAAUGGUUUUUUAUUCAAGGAGUUUCCUUCUCUUGAUACAAAAUAUUUGGCUAACGAUUUCUUUUUGACUUAUGAAAGGAAAACAAUGAAAAAUCUUGAGAAUAUGCGAAUCUUAUAAAUAUUUAAUGUAACAUGUUGAGAAUAUGUCUCAAGUUUGAGUAUGUAGAUAAAUACAUUCCAAUCUUGUGGUUCUAGUUUGAUUGAUUUUCUAGUUUGAGUAGCUCUCCUAAAUGGAGUUUCGUCUCUUGGACACAAAUUAUUUGGCAAAUAAUCUUCCUAAGUUGAAAUGGGAAACGGUGAAAAUCUAGAGAGCAUUUCAAUAUUGUGGAUAUUUGAUGUAACCAGUUGAAAAUAUGUCUCGAGUUUGAGCCCAUAAAAGAAUCUCAAGCCAAGUAAGUUUCUUAGUUUAUGUAGGUUUUUUAAUUUGAGUGACUUUUCUAGAAAUCGUUUCCUAUUUUGGAUACAAAUUAUUUAGUGGAUAGUUUUUGUGAGAUGGAAUGGGAAAUGGUGAAAAAUCUUGAGAACAUUGUAAUCUUGUGAACAUUUAAUGUAAUGUGUUGAAAGUAUCUCUCCAGUUUGAAUUCAUAAAAAAAAACUCAAUCCAAAUAGGUUUUCUAAUUUGAGUUAAAAGCAAUCGAAGCUUUCAAAUAAGCACGUAUAUCUGUGGUGUUCUUAUCUUUUUUCGUCAAUUUCUCUGAUAAUUUCUUCUUCCCGCCUUAAGCUUGAAAUGAAAGAUUCAUUAACUUUUAUAAUGCAACUGUAGGAGUCUAAAGCUCAAGAUGAGGCUUCAUUAUGGUGUAGGUGGGUGGUUGUGACUUACUAAUUAAGGAACCCCAAUCGCAUGAGCGUGCUCUGCAUACACUAUUGAUUGAAGAUCUAAUGAUAGGGUCUUCAAUCAAGAAAAAACAUACUUUACUUAACACGUCGUUCAUGAUUUCAUACCGACUUAAUUUUCAUUUUUGCGAAGGGAUUUUCUCCUUUUAGAUGCUUUAAGAAUAACAGAAUACGUUAAAUUUUCCAUCAUUGCAAUUCCAUUUUUUAUUGUUCUUCUCCUGCUGUACUCUUAGAUUGAUAAGGCGCAUGGGUUCAUAUCCAUAUGAAUUUCUCGGGGCAAAGCCCUAAUUUAGCUAGAUAGCACAGCUGGUUUGUAUAUGCUCCAUCAAUGCAUUUCCUAACAUCUUGUCUAAAUAUACUAACAUGUGGAAUAGUAGCAAUAUGUUCUUAGCACACGAUCAAUUAUCUAGUUCACAUUUUACUUGACAAAUCUGUUUCUUAAUGCCGACCGACCUCUAAAUUUAUUUGCUUUUAAAAUUUAUCUUGGUCCAGCACAAAUCUAAAUCAACUCAAAUAUCUGACUGUGCCAUUGAAAUCUUUAGGACGGUUAGUAGCUCCCUCCCAUGUGAACAGUUUUAUGCCCUUUGUUCUGUCGAUUUUCACUUGCCGACACCAUCUAUUUUAUUUAUUCGUUUGAUUCGGUUGAAAUCCCUUCAUUUCAGAUAUGGCAAGUGGUGACACCUAUAUGCAUAUAAAAUCAAUGGGUUGAAAUUUUCUGGUGGUGCUCAGAAGGUGGACAUAAAUAAAAAAUAAAUUAAUAAUUACAUAUAAUAGAUGAUUGUUUAAUCAUGAAAAUUGUUAGGUUUUCCUCAGUAGACAAACGGGUAUCAUUCCACAUAUUUGGUAUGUACAUUAGGACCGUUUCCGAAAAAAAGAAAAAACUGGCAUGUGAUUAAAAAGUAGGGCCGAGCAUGGUCCGGAUUGGGCCAAUCCACCCCAUAACUUUAGGAUCAACCCGCAUAGUACUAGUUCUCAAUUUUUGGAACUGAGGAUCAAUCCUAUUAAGCUUGGAACCGAGGACCGGUCUGGUUCUAGGAUUAAUCCAAGACCAACUGAUAAAUUUUUUAUUUUAUUUUUGCGCUCCUUGAAAAGGCAACCGAGGACCAAACAAACCCAAUGGGUUUACUUUGUUUCUAGGGUCAACCAAUAUUUUUUAUUUCAAUUUUUUGCACUCCCUGAAAAUGUCGCCGAGAACCGGACUGACCCAAUAAGUUUGAUGACAAGUGAGGUCAGCUAAGACAGGUGAGUGGCGAGCGUCGAGCAUUGAGCGGCAAGCAACAUGAGUAACCCAAAGCGAGUGAGGCGAGUAGUGAGCGAAGAAAUUGUUUCUUUCGAUUUAGACAAAUUGAAAACUAAGAAGACAAAUAAGAUAGAAGAAAACGAGUAUUGGAUGAGGAUGCCGCGAGGAGCUAUUUAUGUCCUUUUGGACACGAGGACUUUUCACAAAAACAUUUUCUUCAAUUGUAAAUUAUGGUUGUUGAUGUCAUAAAAGACAUUAAAAAUCUAAGUUAUUAAAGAACAGUGUAAAAUUACUUGAACUUCUCACUAAGAAAUUGUUUAAUGUUGUUAAUGCUGUUUAUUUUAAAAUUUUCUCUAUAUAAAAAAAUUAUAAAUAAUAUUAUAGAUAUAUAUAUAUAGUGUUAGGGUUAAUUUGGGUUAGACCAACCUUGAACACUUAGAACCGAUGAUCAACUCGCAAAGUGCUGGUCCAAGAAUCCCAAAACUAAAGACUGACCUAAUUUUUCUAGAAAUCGAACUAAGAUCGGUAGGGUUAGGUCAGUCCCUAAAUCGAUGCUCAUCCCUAUUAAAAAUACAUUACCUAUAAACAUAUUAGCAUAUGCCAAGAUCCCAUUAUUAUUGGGUCCCACUUAUCUAUUUCCAAAGUAGAGGGCCCCUCCGAUUUUGUGUUUGGUUUGACAGGAUCAGUGGCUGACGUGACAAAUAUCUCAAUUUUUGUGGCUAUCCUUGCAAAACUUUUUGGUCCUGGCUUGCACGUACUAUUUAGUGAUUGGGGAACUAUAUAGUUUUCUUAUAUUAUUUUAUACUUAUUGCAAAAGAGGCAGAAAAGAAAAGAUCACAUUUCAAAUCCCUACACUUUAAAGAGUUUUCACGACAGGCCCCUUUAUUUUAUUUUGCCUUAUAGAUCCUACUUCUCACGCUUUUCUCUAACCACCGUUUAAGUCAUUCCUACAUAUUUUCACUCAAAAUCUGGUGAAGAACAUAUUGGAUUCAGGACUCGCAAUCAACAAAUAGUACCUUACGUGUAAAAAUCUUUGCGAUGUUCAAAUCUUUUCCCAUCUACUUUGAUUGACUACCCUGUAUAGUGAAAUAAAGGUUCAUUUACCAUGAUGGUGGUUGGUCUAGUGGAGUAGAGCAUACUCUCGAAUGGUUUGAAAUCCUCUAGUCAUAUGUAUGAAUCCCACGGUUCCUUUGAAGCAUUGGAUUGGCCAUGAUAUAAGAUGAUUCUAGCACUAUAAUGGGGAUGAAGGUGACGGGUUUGCUCAAAAUGAGCAAGAGUUAUGGCUUAAACCGAACAUUUUGUUAUUGAAAUAACAAUUAUAGUGAAAGUUAAGAUAAAAGAUAACAAUUUCCUCUAUAAAGAAAUUGAAUAAAAGACAAAUAAGAAAAUAUCUCUAAAUGAUCAAUUCGUUGAUACUUUGUUUGAUUUGUUAUAUUCAUACUGAUUUGUAGAAGAUUUUGCACUGCAAACAUUAUUAUUUUUUCCCUUUCUAUUUUUACUUCAAUAUUUGUCGCAGGCAUGAUAAAACUCCUGUAAUAACACCUGUAGAGUUGCCGGCCAACAUCGGUUUAUCAUUUCAAAUAUAGGCAUCACAAUUAUUAGUUCAACAAAUUCUGUCAAACUUUCAAUGUCACUUUAACAAUGAUAGAUAAAGAACAUACCGUCAGUUUAUGAUUUCAAAUAUAGUUUUGGUGCGAGAUCUAUUCUCAAGGUGUUGUCAAAAGCAUCUUCUAGGUCACGUAAAUAGAAAGUACACUGGGCGGUGGGGGGGGGGGGGGGGGGGAUAAGUCUUGUAAGGUUAUCCUAACCUGCCCCUCGGAUCCGUCGCCAUAGCAUGUAUGACCAGUCAGUUCUACCCUCCAUCAAAGCUGAAAAAAAUGGUGUUCACUAUUCAAUGCCCCGAGGAAAAUUUGGAAAAAAAAACCCCGACCAUAUUUGGGUAUUAAAACCUCCACUUUCUUGUAGACCAACGCGAAUUACAGUAUGAAAGGUGAAUCUCAGAUCCGAGAAAUGUGAACGGAGUGCAGUCGGGUUUUAAACAGGGCAGCUGGUAUCGGGUGAGAUAUCAACUGGACAGGGAGGAUUUCGCUUUCAAGACUUUCGCAUUCACUGGAUACGUUAAAGCACCCCCAAGACACGAAAGGCGAAGACGGGUCCUUUGCUUUCAUGGAGACGUAAAAGUGGACGGUGGGCGGGUCCAUUGGAAUGGCCGUUGAAGUUUGAGCUUUGUGUCGGCAAGAGCAUAUCUCAUCCCCCUUCGUAUAUUCUCUCCCCUUUUUUGUUUUUUGCUUUUUUGUUUUUUAAGUUUUAGAGUUGCCUUUUAAAGAUAAGAUUUGAUUGAUUAAGAUAAAAUAAAAAGUCCCAUCAUUUGUUCGAUUAAACUAUCUACCAUGUCCUAGAUGUAUAUAGCCAAAAACAUAAAUAAUAACAUUUCAAGUAGCUACUUUCUGUUAAAAAAAAAGUAGCUACUUAAAAUAGUAAAGACAGAAGAAAACUAAAGGGGAAAUGGUGGAUGAAGGAUCACCGUAGUCUCGGUGGUCGACCCACUUGUUAUCAAUUUCACCAUUGUGGUUGCGUAUCCGCUGUGACCAUCGUGAUGGUCGGGUAUUAAUGCCAACCAUCAUGACAUUGUUAGGACACGCGGUAGAAGAAUGAUGCCUUCAUAUAAGGAGAUUGUCAUAGUAAAGUUUAAGUUCGGGCUUAUCAAUGUAUUUAGUUGGACCACAUUUAUCUAAAAGUUUAAAAUUGGCGAGUCAUAAGCUAGUUCAGAUAUAUUAAUUGUUUUACAAUACAAUAAAUUAGUCUAUCAUGCAACACUUCCUUAAUCCACUUUAUACAUGGACCUCAACAGAAAUUGUCUCAUGUAUCGUGGUGGUGAUUGACCACCCCUACAAUCCAAAAACAAGGAGAGGGGUACCAUGAUGGUCGUUCGAAAUGUGUGACGUUUACGAUGGGGCCCACUGUGACCAUUGUGCGAUAUUUCGCUUGGGUGAGAUAAUUGACCACUAUUGCUUGGAUAGGCUGUCCAAGAUUCUAUCAUGACUUAUUCGGGCUAAUCCCAAUCCGAAUACAUCUCCAAACUCACGAUAGAAUAAUUUUUCUUCUAUCUAAUCUUUUAUUCGAUCUACAAUACAUACCUUUGGGAUCUGAACUCCUAACACCAAUUGACAUAUGAAUUGGCAUGGUUUAAUAGGUUAAGAAAAAUGUUGCCAAGUCCAAAAUGGUAUGAACAUAAAAUACAUAAUAUAUUUAUGUGUUCAAUAUGAAUUUUAAGUUUUGUAAUGACUUAAUGUGACAUAAUCCGAAUUUACGUACACGUAAACACUAAAAUCUAACUCUUGACUACUAGAUCGAUGUACUUGUAAGUGGUUACUAAUCACACACCAUACAUGUAUUUCAUCAAACUUCCUCUAAAGCUUACAGCACAUUUGAUUAUAGUAAUCACCGUUACCUGACGGGUGUAUCACAUGUUGAUUGCCAAUUACAAUGUUUGCUUGUGGUAGUAGCUAUUAUAGUGUGACCAUACAUUCAUUUUGUUUUUAUUUUCUUUAAGUAGGCAAGACUAGUCUUCGACCCGUUAAAUAGGUGGGUUGAGCUGAAAAUGGUUUGACCAAAAUCGACUCAUUUAACUAGUUUUCACCAAUCACAUGCAAUACAAAUUUAAUUACUAAUACCCAACUCAUAUUGCUAAAACACUUCCAUAUUUAACUAAAUCUAAAAAAACUCAUAUCUAGAUUGAGGUGAGAGUGCGGAGCAAGUGAGUGUAAGAUCGAGUGAGGAUAAGAGAGAGUGAAGAGAGAGUCAUAAAGGUGAGUUAGGUCUAAUAAUACUGUGAACUCAUUUAACAUUCAUAUUAUUUUGGGUUUUACCAUUCUAAACCCAUCUACUAAAUAACUAAUAUAACAACUCAAUCUAUCAAAUUUAUGUUAAGAAAUGGGUCUACGACCUAUCUUGACAAAUCUAACUAUUUUUAGGAUGUCAAUUUAAUAUCAAGUGACAUGGAUUUUGACAAGUUUAUGUAAGAAGAUAUCGUCAGCUCCACAAAUGACUUGAUUUCAAAAUGCAUAAGCAUAAUAUUUCAAUUAAGCUACAAAGUAUUACGAUGACGCUACAGUACAUGUCAUAAUUCUAAUCUGGCAUGAAAAUACCUUUCGUAGGAUGUGUCACUUAAAAUCUUGUUUAUGCAUGGUUGGGACUUAUAAAUAGAGCCAGAUCCUAGUUAUGCAAUAUACGAUUUGGCAGCCUUCCUCAAAUGCUUAUUUUGCUUAGCCCCUUUCAAAUGGGAAAUUAUCAACUCCAUCACCAGCACAUACGUCCGGUGGAUGUGAUUUAUAGGUAUUGUGGCCCCAUAUGGGACCCACACACAUCCAACGGACGAUGGGCCAAUUGCACUUACUGCACCCAAAAUACUUUCCAUGGGAGAUUUGAUAUGCGUUUGAUAUGAGAAUCGACUAACAUUGAAUUCAUGAAGCAUAAUCCCGUGAUGGUAUAUUAGUUCCUGGGAAAUUUAACACCUGUUCAUAAGAUUCUCUAUGCAAAAAAAUCGUGUAUUCGUAUACAAAUGUUACUGUAAAAUUGUACUGAAAACUGGCAGGACGGCUUUAUUUGGAUGGGCUUAGUAGACCAUCAUCAGUUAAUAAUUUCUGAGAGAAUGUCCGGGAUAAUUUGGGGGUUAAUUGUCAGACAAUUCAUUUAUGCCUUAACUUGUACGCGUCAGCAGAAAACAUGUCAACUGCAGAUUGGCAUUGAUCUCCAAUUCAUUUGGUGCACGGUAUGACGUACCAAGUGGAAAAAUCUUCAGCAUGGACACCUGGCGCUGUCUCGACCUUUGCAUAUGAUCUCCCAUAAAAUAUCAUCAUGAAUCGGUGGGAGGUAGUUGAUCCCGCGAAUCUUCUUCCAAAAUAUAGAUUAAAGAUUGUUGUUGGAUGCUAAUCCUUCUUGUAUUUGCUGUUCCCGUCCACCGUAUGAUACAUUAGGCACACGCGCUUCGUGGAGAAGAAGUGAGAUCCCUUAGGAAAUUACGAAAUCAAAUUUAAUUAUACUUUAAUCCUUUAAAAAGUUGAUCCACCUCUUUAUCCAUUUUCUUUUCUUUGUCCUAUCCCCUCUUUUCAUUCUUGACCUUCUCCGAGUGUACGUGGAUGUCUUCCAAUUGAGCCGCGACAUCGAAUGGGAGGUUGCCCGCCACGGGAAACCCUGGCCCGAGUUUGGGGCCACCACUAAAGCGAGUUGCCCUGGCCUUGUUUGCAUCGGGGCUCGGGAGGCGGGAGGGAGAUGGAUGGAUCGGGGACGAGGCGUGACGGUGGAGUCCGACGACUCCGGUAGCUGGAGGGACCGCAAGACAUCGACCAUGUCAGGGCGCGGUGGGCUAUGCACAGGGCAGUAGAGUUUUCAUUUGGGUCUGGGUAUGUUCUUUUAGAAAUGGCGUGUUUUUGUUACUUUGAGGUAAUUUAUAAACUGCUAAAUCUAAAUGAACAUGAAUUCUCACGUGAAACAUUUAGCAAGAGAGUUCUCUUUCCAAGACAAACUCACGCCAACUUGAUGUUGCCGAGUGCCGUUUCAGGAAAGAGAGCCCUCAUCUAAAAUACGUGACCUUGGCGGUGAAAAUGGCCCGGGCAGCGUCGUCGUCCUAGUGCAAAUUGUCCCACCGGUCACGAUGCACAUAGAAUUCUUUCAAGCUUCCCCGAGCGCUGUUCGAGUCCAACGGCAACUUUCCAAGAUGGGGGCACUCAUAUAUGAUGAGUCAUUCCAGCUGAGGAAAAGGUAGAGGCUGGUCAUAAAUGCUCGUUAGGCUUGGAAGAUACGUAAUUUGUAGGAUUUCAAGACAUGAGAAUAGUCCUAAAGUAGCCUAUUCUUUCGCCGCAAAUCCAUCCCCCAUGAUUUUUCUCCAUUGAAUCGCACUGUUGGACCAUCAGUUCUCGGAGUUACGGAGCAUGCUUGAACCAGGACAAGUCUGACAGCUCGCACCCUUCGACACAAACUUCAAUGAGACUAGAGAAGCAAGAGCAGUUGGGUACUCAUCGUAUUCCUUGAGUAAUCUCCACCUCCUUGAGUACAAAGCAUUUAUCUAGAUAGAGGACCUCUAAACGCAAGAAACAGCUGUUGCCUAUUGGUGAGUAAUUGAUUGGGAUGCAAGUCAAGUCAUGGCAAUUGGUGAUCCCCGCUAGCCUUAUGCCUCUAUGUAAACUCAGAGAUUGGAAUAUUUUCAAGGGUAGAGAAAGACUUGAACACUUUGAUAGAGAAGUCGAUAAGAUGUUGCAUGUGCUUUAGUUCCUCUACAAUCUCUUUUUCCUUCACUGGAAUUGAUUUCACUAAAUGGAAACUCCACUAGCUGAGCACAUUUAAUGGCAAGCAUGCAAUUGCCCCUAUCAGAAUUAGGAAUGGGUCAACUACAUCGUUUAGUAGCAACAAUUGUAAACAAGUCAAGUUCUUGAUUUCCCUAGGCAACUCAACAGUACCGGUGGUUGAUAGGUUCAAGUACCGUAGAUUAAUUAGAUCGUGAAUCCCUUUAGGGAAUGAAUAUAUCUAUUAUCAUAUAGGUUCAAGACUAUUAGACGAGUUGUCAUCAAGUCAAAAAAAAAAAACCUCUUGGCACAAUCAUUGCUUUUGUUCCCCUACAAACAAAGUUUCGAGCUGGGAACACAUGGGUGGUAUUCGGUCAAUAUCAUGAUCCAUUUUCCCCAUAGAGAUGCUUUCUCUACUUCUUGCCGUUUUGAGAUCAUCUUUGUGGAUAUGUCUUCAUCUUUCUCCAUCACUAGCAACUUGUUCUCCCUUUGCCCGCGGUCACAAACGAUCUGGGUCGCCAUGUCGCAAAUGAUAUCGUGCAUCUUUACAUACCAUCGCUCAUCAUUACUAUGCCCAUUUUCCAAUAGACAAUCCCUCUUUAAAUCCCCCAAGAUAGACUCUCCCUUGUCCCACAUACAGUGAUUAUCAUUAGUGGCUGUUAGCAAGCCUUCUCCAAUCUAGAGUUCAAUGAGAUCAUCUAUUAUUAUGGGGUAAUCCUCAUUAAAGAGACAACAGUAAAGGAAGCAAGAGUUAUUUAAGCUAUUAUAAUUGAACUCUAGUAUGCGGUACACUUCCUCCACCAUACCUGAUAGGUUGUGUGAAUUGUUUCUUAGCAUUGUUAGAGCAUGCCUCCACUCAUGAGGAUUGUCUUUUUGGCCAUGGCUUGCCCGACAGUAAUAAGGGUGAAUGGUAAUUCUUUGCAGUCUUCGACAAUCUCCUUUGUGAGAUCUUAAAUUUCUUGAUGGUAAUUUACAAGUGAUUUGUUGAUGUUCUUCUCGAGUAAUUUUAGAGCUUCUUCAGGUGUCAAGCACUGCACUUCUAAGGUUUUGUGGGCUCCCAUUUGGUUACAUGCAUGCUUCAACUGAGUUGUGAACGCUACUUUGGAUCUGUUCUUUGGACCAAGAUGAGGAACUUUGAUUUUUGAAAAGUUCCAGCCUUCACCAUAUAUAAUCAAUCAAAAACACAAACUUCACCUUGGUCAAAACAUGACACCAAUGAUGGACCCUCUCAUCCUGGGACCAUCGAUCCCAGCUCUCAUCUUGAAUAUGCAGCCUCUUUCUCAUGGUGUCUUGAAUGCUUUCUUCUUUCACUUGUCUAGACACCACCACC